GGUUGUUAAGGUGUAGAGGCCAGCAGUCCAGAUUCUGACCUGACCAAAGACUUCUGGCGGCCCCGGUUCGAGUCCGGGGACGACCU
This is a non-coding RNA of Coniochaeta sp. PMI_546, 86 nucleotides long. The record is from the annotation of a GenBank genome assembly. NCBI's taxonomy places the organism in Eukaryota, Fungi, Ascomycota, Sordariomycetes, Coniochaetales, Coniochaetaceae.